Molecule: long non-coding RNA, 1594 nt
Filed under: Triticum aestivum (bread wheat)
Lineage: Eukaryota; Viridiplantae; Streptophyta; Magnoliopsida; Poales; Poaceae
Description: long non-coding RNA (TAES_LNC001781)
Source: RNAcentral
GUAUAGUGCACUUGUACGGGCCAUCAGAUGCAAUAAUUCUACUGCUUAUAUCAUAAGUUGCAGGACUACAUCACAAGUUCGACGACAACUAAAGCAUGAAACAUCCAUCAAAAGCACAGACCGCUCCAGACUUCACAAACCUUUCAAAAAGUCAAAUAUAUGGCUACAAGAAAUAGUAACGCACAUCGAUUUAUAAGUCUACAAUGUCAAUGCAGGCAACAGGAGGCAAUAAAGUAGUUCGGUUGUUUAUUUUACAGGUGGAAAUUUCUACAUUUCAAGUAGAGCAACUAAUGCCUUGUUCUUCGUGAAGCUACUUCUCAUCAGAUCCUUACUGCCUACCCUGCACGACACCAAAAUGAAGAGGCAUCAGUGAUUAGCCACAGAUUAACAGUAUUAUAGCAAGACUACAGAUACAAUUUUUCAUAGGCAUAUUCCUCAGGGACCGCUGCUGCCAAAUGAGUGUGCGGAGAAAUUGGAACAGAAUAAGAUUGUCAUAGCUUGGGUUUGAUGUAUGCGUCAGGAUUUCCUUAUAAAUGAUUGAAUAAUGAUAAUAUAUGCUUGCACUUAUAUUUAACAACUUAGGAGGUUCAUUGCUCUAAUGGUUUACCAAACAGAUGUGGGUGAGCAUUUAAGAACAAAAAUUUAAUCCACUUAGGAGACAUGUGGAAACUGAAAUCUAACAGUCAACAUACAAACUUCAACCUCUCAGUGGGCAAGCACUACAGGCGUGAUAAAAGUAAUAUUCAUAGGUUUGAUCGAAGUACUAGGUCGCACCAUAAUUAUGCGAUUUAAGCUUUAUGGACAAAAGAUAUCAACAUUGAUCAACUUUAAUCCGAUACUUGUCCAUAGUGCCAGUAAAAAUCAUAUGACAAAUGCUUUUAUACCUGUCAGUUCCCUUGUUGUCCUUCACCUGGGCUAGGAUACUGAUCGGAAACCCCUUGUAAGUUAUCUCCUCCAUAUGCAGGCGCUGCACCCUGUCUGUUGUCUCCACCAUAACCAGGACCCCCUUGGUUACCUCCAGCAUAUCUCGAUCCAGACGGUUGCCCAUAAGCUGGAGGUCCAAAUGGCUUCCCAUAGGAUCCAGGUGCAGACGGUUGACCAUAAUUUCCAGGUGCAGGCGGUUGACCGUAAUUUCCAGGUGCAGGUGGUUGACCAUAAUUUCCAGGUGCUGAAGGGCCACCAGGCCUGAGAUCUCCUUCCUGUCCUUGCGAGAAACUCCUGCGCUCUUGUGGAUCUUGGAAACCUUGACCGGCUUCAUUUACACGCCCUUGGUACCCACCAGGUGCAUUGUAACCUGGACGGUCGGCGGAAUCAUUCCUCCCAUAACCUCUACCAUCUUGUCCAGCUUGUGUGUAAUUCUGCUGUGGAGCGUAGCCUCUUACUUCUUGCUGUGGGCGGGACCCUUGGAAGUUUCCUUGUGGUGGCGACCUGUUCUGGUAAUUUCCGUGAGGUGGAGGACUGUUCUGGUAAUUACCUUGCGGUGGAGGACUGUUUUCGUAAUUCCCACGAUAGUUGCGGUUUCUAUCAUUCCUUGACAGUUUGCUAUACUGAACAGGUGGUGGUCUUGGAGUUAUGACACCAUUCUCAUAUUUGU